AUUGAACGCUGGCGGCAGGCUUAACACAUGCAAGUCGAGCGGGGUGAUGGUGCUUGCACUAUCACUUAGCGGCGGACGGGUGAGUAAUGCUUAGGAAUCUGCCUAUUAGUGGGGGACAACAUCUCGAAAGGGAUGCUAAUACCGCAUACGUCCUACGGGAGAAAGCAGGGGAUCACUUGUGACCUUGCGCUAAUAGAUGAGCAUAAGUCGGAUUAGCUAGUUGGUGGGGUAAAGGCCUACCAAGGCGACGAUCUGGAGCGGGUCUGAGAGGAUGAGCCGCCACACUGGGACUGAGACACGGCCCAGACUCCUACGGGAGGCAGCAGUGGGGAAUAUUGGACAAUGGGGGGAACCCCGAUCCAGCCAUGCCGCGUGUGUGAAGAAGGCCUUAUGGUUGUAAAGCACUUUAAGCGAGGAGGAGGCUCUUUUGGUUAAUACCCAAGAUGAGUGGACGUUACUCGCAGAAUAAGCACCGGCUAACUCUGUGCCAGCCGCCGCCGUAA
This 503-nucleotide ribosomal RNA is filed under the name uncultured bacterium. Its description in RNAcentral is "partial 16S ribosomal RNA". It matches the Rfam family "Bacterial small subunit ribosomal RNA", at positions 30 to 523 of the family's 1533-position model. The record is from RNAcentral.